Molecule: unclassified non-coding RNA, 227 nt
Filed under: Hevea brasiliensis (rubber tree)
Lineage: Eukaryota; Viridiplantae; Streptophyta; Magnoliopsida; Malpighiales; Euphorbiaceae
Source: RNAcentral
AAUUACCCAUCUCAUACAUUCCAAUAAAUCCAUAAAAUAUGUUUACAAGUUUAAAGGAACAAAUCAUUACAGUGCCAACCAGUUUAGGGCACUACUAGCACAUGCAAAGUUUUAGAAUACAAAAUAAGGAAAUAAAAUUAUAAUAAAACUUCUACUAGUAAACCUAUGAGAAAGAAAGCAGGUUAAUCUCAAAGAGUCUUCCUGUCACCUCCUAAAUAAUCCACAUG